RNAcentral lists this ribosomal RNA (491 nucleotides) under uncultured bacterium. RNAcentral's name for it is "bacterial SSU rRNA". It matches the Rfam family "Bacterial small subunit ribosomal RNA", at positions 21 to 507 of the family's 1533-position model. The record is from RNAcentral.
GGCUCAGAUUGAACGCUGGCGGCAUGCCUUACACAUGCAAGUCGAACGGCAGCGGACCUUCGGGUGCCGGCGAGUGGCGAACGGGUAGAGUAAUAUAUCGGAACGUACCUUUCAGUGGGGGAUAACGUAGCGAAAGUUACGCUAAUACCGCACUAUUCUGUGAGCAGGAAAGCAGGGGAUCGCAAGACCUUGCGCUGAUUGAGCGGCCGAUAUCAGAUUAGCUAGUUGGUGAGGUAAAGGCUCACCAAGGCGACGAUCUGUAGCGGGUCUGAGAGGAUGAUCCGCCACACUGGAACUGAGACACGGUCCAGACUCCUACGGGAGGCAGCAGUGGGGAAUUUUGGACAAUGGGCGCAAGCCUGAUCCAGCCAUGCCGCGUGAGUGAAGAAGGCCUUCGGGUUGUAAAGCUCUUUCGGCCGGGAAGAAAUCGCACGGGUUAAUACCCUGUGUGGAUGACGGUACCGGAAUAAGAAGCACCGGCUAACUACGUG